UACGUAGGUGGCAAGCGUUGUCCGGAAUCACUGGGCGUAAAGCGCGCGCAGGCGGCGAUCUACGUCUGGGGUGAAAGCCCGGAGCUCAACUCCGGGACUGCCUUGGAUACGGGAUCGCUUGAGGAUUGGAGAGGCAAGGGGAAUUCCACGUGUAGCGGUGAAAUGCGUAGAUAUGUGGAGGAACACCUGUGGCGAAGGCGACUUGCUGGCCAAUUUCUGACGCUGAGGCGCGAAAGCGUGGGGAGCAAACAGG
RNAcentral lists this ribosomal RNA (253 nucleotides) under uncultured bacterium. RNAcentral describes it as "partial 16S ribosomal RNA". It matches the Rfam family "Bacterial small subunit ribosomal RNA", at positions 524 to 776 of the family's 1533-position model. The record is from RNAcentral.